This 468-nucleotide ribosomal RNA is filed under the name uncultured bacterium. RNAcentral's name for it is "partial 16S ribosomal RNA". It matches the Rfam family "Bacterial small subunit ribosomal RNA", at positions 29 to 507 of the family's 1533-position model. The record is from RNAcentral.
AACGAACGCUGGCGGCGUGCCUAACACAUGCAAGUCGAACGGAAACUCCCUGCUUUUGUGCGGUGCCCGAUUGGCGAACGGGUGAGUUACACGUGAGUAACCUGCCCUUCACUUUGGGAUAUCUUAAGGCAACUUAGGUUAAUACCGGAAAGGAGCUCCCGCCUCAUGGUGGGCGUUGGAAAGUUUCGGCGGUUGGGGAUGGAUUGGCGGCUUAUCAGCUUGUUGGUGGGGUAGUGGCUUACCAAGGCAUUGCCCGGUAGCCGGCCUGAGAGGGUGACCGGCCCAGAUGGGACUGAGCUACGACCCGGACUACUAUGGUAGGGAGCGGUGGGGAAUAUUGUACUGUGGGCGGAAGCAUAGUGCGACAACGCCGCGUGCGGGAUGACGUCCUUCGGGUUGUAAAACGCUGUCGCCUAUGACGAAGCGUGAGUGACGGUAACGGGAAAAUAAGCACCGGCUAACUACGUG